This 2411-nucleotide long non-coding RNA is filed under the name Pan troglodytes (chimpanzee). Its description in RNAcentral is "long non-coding RNA NONPTRT001279". Lineage: Eukaryota; Metazoa; Chordata; Mammalia; Primates; Hominidae. The record is from RNAcentral.
GUAGAAGUGUUCAGUCAGAUAAAACUAUCUGAGAAUGCCAGUGUCUCCCAGGCCACCCACUUUCCUGGAGAAUUUUGAGAAUGUCUUUUGUCCCAGCCCCACAUAGAGAAGAAUCCUACCAGGCAAUACCAAGGCCUCCAGCCCCCACGCGCAUGCUAGGCCUCCUUAUCCGGGUCAGGACGAACCAGAGGAGGCCUACGGGGAGAAAUAAGGAGACAGAGGGACAACGCAUAGAGAGGAGCAACAGAGAGUUGGGGGCAGAGUCAGGGAGAUGCGGGAUGCGCCCUCGGGAGCAAGGUCGCCCAAGCCGUAUAGGAGGGGAAGGGAGGACGGAUCGCGCAGGCUCUGAUAGCCCAGCCCAGCCCCGCGAGGCUCCCAGGUUUCCUGUCUGUUUCUCCUCCCAGCUCCUCUUCCUCUCUUGUGAAAUUUCUCCCCAGAGCCUCUCCUGUGCCAGCCUGUCUCUGCUUCUGUAUGUAUUUCUUCCUCUGCCCGGUGUCGGCGACUGUCCGUGGGUCUCUCCAUCUCGCGUCUGUCUCUGGUCUCCAGUUCAGCCUCCCGGCCUGGCCCUCUGGGUGGACGGUGCUCCUGGCGCCCCUCCCCGGGCAGCACUAUUGGCGGAGAGGUGACGAGAAGGCGGUGUCUAGCCGCCCUCCGAGGGCGGGAUUAGUCGCGGGGAACCAAAGGCGGGCAGGAGGUGGGCCCGGCUGGGAGGCGGGCGGGGCCACUGGGGCCGAGCCCAGAGCCCCGGGCGGUCGCAUUGUUUUCCUCCGCGGAUCCGCGGCUGGACUUGGACCCAGGGCUCUCCCGACAGCGCCCUGGAACCCAAAUUCAAGCACCAUCCAAUUCGGACGCUCAUCGCAUCUCGCCUGAGCACAACCACGGAUUGCGAACUCAGCGCAGCGCGUGGCCGCUGGCCGCCCGCGGCGAUCUCGAUCCCGCUGACCCGAAUCCUGGAGCAAGUACCCCGGGCAGGGAAGGGGCUGCGGGGAGGCGGGGAGGGAGCAGGAGGGCGCGGCCGGCGGGGGGCAAGCUUCUGAAGCGCUAGGGGACCAGGGAGGGUGUCGGCGCCCGGUGUGCCUGGCUGACGGAGAGGGUCAACGAAAUUGGGGUGCAGGGAGGAAGGAGGGACAGUGGCCGAGCCCCGUAACUGUACUGGUGAGAGCAGAGUCUGGGCACCUCGUUCAAUUGGGCUUUCGUCGAGUCGCAUCCCGCUGGACUGGGAAGCGCGAAAAGGGAUUAUUUAAGGCGCGCUCCAUAGAGAGGGUGGAAAACCUGGCCCCUUGCUUUCCCAGCAAGGAAACUAGGGCUCCGAGACCCACGGAGAACUAGACCCUCCUGACGCCCCUGAAGGGAUGGGAAGAGGGGCGCAUCGUUCCGGACUUUGUGUCACGGGUGCUCCUCUGUCCUUGUGCAAGCCGGAAUCUGAGCACCCUCUGAAGGGUUGGCUCGUGCAAAGAGGCGGCGAAUGGGGCCCUCGAGCAACAUCGGUCCCAGCGCCUAUCUCCUUCCUUCAGCCCGCUCGGCCCGGGGCUUUGUUAGACUGAGGUCUCCCAAGGAGGACAUCCGAGCUGGCAACUGCCUCCUGAGCCCACGGUCCCCACUGAGCGCCGGCCUCAGGCCCGCCCUCGUCGGUUCUCAGCCUCUGGCCCCGUUUCCCUGGCCUGGGAGACCCGCCUCCGCUCCCCAACCCCCGCUCCUAUCCCCUCUCCGUCUGCGCCUGCAGGCCCCUCCAGCCCCUCCUCUCGCUAACGUGGCUCUGGGACCCGGUCCCGGCCCAGACUCUGCUACCGGCCCCUCCUCGGAGCCCCGGAUCCGGUGAGGGGGAGACACGUCGAGCCCCUGGCCCUAGGCCCACCUCUUUUCGAGGCUUUAGACACCUGGAUUGUCCUGGUUGGGGGUUGGGUGGGAAGGAGGGUAGGUGCUGAGUGUGGGGCUAAGAGCUAAGAGUGGGGGAAAUGGCUUGGAGAAAGGAAAGCUCCGGUUCCACAGGCUCCUUGGCGCGACCCUGCUCCCUCUGAGGAAGGUGGACUGGGGCGGGCGACCAGCCCAAAGGCUUCCUGCUGUUGUCCCCAGCCCAGUCUCCCCUUCUCCAUCCCUUCCACAGCUCUCCUAGACUCUGGCUGUGACCCCAGCCACUCCCCAGAGGUGGCUUCGGGGCCAGGAGAGAGAAGGGCUGUUUCCUCUUCCCAGCAACGGGAGGAUCUGGAAAGGGGAGAGUCGGCCAGGUCUCUCCCAUGUGCUUCAGAUGGGGUGUGUGAAGCAGCUCGGAUUCUUCCAGGGCAGAGUGAUCUUUUCUCCAGGCCAGGAGUUGAGGAGCUGACCAGAUGCUGCUCCCCAGAAACAGCUACAAGAAGCCCUCUUAAAGGUGUAUCAUAGUUGAGUCUAGAGGGCCAAUGCAAAGGCCAGCCAAG